GUCGGGAUCCCCCGGAGGCAUGGCUGGAAAACCCCGCCAGGACCGAGAGGUAGCAACGGUAUUCAGUCCAUGCUUGUCGGGUGUGGUCUCGGCGGU
Molecule: signal recognition particle RNA, 96 nt
Filed under: Candidatus Parakkermansia intestinavium
Lineage: Bacteria; Pseudomonadati; Verrucomicrobiota; Verrucomicrobiia; Verrucomicrobiales; Akkermansiaceae
Description: signal recognition particle sRNA small type
Rfam family: Bacterial small signal recognition particle RNA
About the family: The signal recognition particle (SRP) is a universally conserved ribonucleoprotein involved in the co-translational targeting of proteins to membranes. Archaeal SRP consists of a 7S RNA and homologues of the eukaryotic SRP19 and SRP54 proteins.
Source: RNAcentral